GCCUACCUCAACAUGCGGCACUACGGGCAGCAAGGGAUGGGCGCAAGUGCCAGCGAAUACCAGACACCCUGAAGCCGGUGGAUGAUCAUCUCGACAUGUUCCUUGUGGUGCCAGCAACACUUGCACCGCUGGUGUGGCAUUCUUUGCACGCUAUGCUGGGAUAGUUUUUUAGGAGUGCCAUGUCUGGACAGCUUAUUCAGAAGCAGGCUGUCGUCGUCGAGAUCCAUGCUUUUUUUUUUAACGGAUGAUGUUGCAGUGCCCACAUGGGCACUACAGAUUUGCAGCCUACAGGCAGUGUGCCCUGUGGCUGUGGAGCCGCUUGGGAAAGAAGAAUAGGCGGCCCCUGCCAUCCUGUGUGGUCAAGACAAUUAGGGGCAGGUACCCUGCUGACGUGUAUGCGGGCUACAAGGAUGCAGAAUAAAUUGCGUUGACCUAGAGACCACGCAACCCCCUUCCCUUGUCUCUUCACCCUCCCUGCAUGUGUGUGAAGUCGCUCGUAGCCAUGAACGGAAUCCUCUAAAUCACGUGACCUAUUAUCUACGAUAUCACGUGACCAUAACUAUGAUCACAUGAUCGUAGUCAAACC
Ixodes scapularis (black-legged tick) is the source of this 586-nucleotide long non-coding RNA. RefSeq lists it as uncharacterized. The transcript has 3 exons. The record is from RefSeq and is a predicted model, not a curated record. Lineage: Eukaryota; Metazoa; Arthropoda; Arachnida; Ixodida; Ixodidae.